CAGAGGAUGACUGGGGCCGUUGGAAGAUAUUUCUCUUCUCCCUUGGGAAGGAGCCACUAUUCCCAGAAAGCAAACAAGCAGAAUUAAAACAUCCCCUGGACCCUGAGCGGACGGCUGCCCCUGCAGGGGAAGCAGCACCGUGAGGCGCGAUGAGGUCGCAGGGGCCUUGGUCACAGUCUCCACGGGAUGGGGCUGAGCCGUCCCCCGCCCCCCGUCCCCGCGUCCCUCCCCCACCUGCACAGAGGACCCGGCACAGAGAAGAGCCUCCUGCUGGAAGGGCUCUCUCUCAUCCCUGAAACCAAACGCCACCCGAGGUCGCCAUCAAGCCGGUCACGGGACAGAGGGUCGGGACCUGCUACUUCUAGAAAUUCACACUAAAGCUCUGUCUGCCUUGAGAGCAAAGAAAAGCCCCGAAGCCAGCAUGGGAGCACGAAGCUUGCCUCCCUGCCAAGGCCUUCAGACGCCCCAGAGCCACGGCGCUCGAACGGUAAUUAAAGACCAGGCAGACUGAGGCACCCACCCUAGAUGUCGUGAGGAUGAAUGUGUACGAGGGAACUGUUAGCAAGGGCGCGAGGCUGAAAAUUUGCCCAGGAAAAAGGCCAACAAGCAGGCAUUUCUGCCUGAAACACAG
Molecule: long non-coding RNA, 631 nt
Organism: Balaenoptera ricei (Rice's whale)
Lineage: Eukaryota; Metazoa; Chordata; Mammalia; Artiodactyla; Balaenopteridae
Exons: 3
Source: RefSeq, a predicted model, not a curated record